UACGGAGGGUGCAAGCGUUAUCCGGAUUUACUGGGUUUAAAGGGUGCGCAGGCGGAUUUUUAAGUCAGUGGUGAAAGCCCGGGGCUCAACUCCGGAAUUGCCAUUGAUACUGGGAAUCUUGAGUAUAGUCGAGGUGGGCGGAAUGAGUCAUGUAGCGGUGAAAUGCUUAGAUAUGACUCAGAACACCGAUUGCGAAGGCAGCUCGCUAGACUAUAACUGACGCUCAGGCACGAAAGCGUGGGGAGCGAACAGG
Molecule: unclassified non-coding RNA, 253 nt
Filed under: uncultured Chitinophagales bacterium
Lineage: Bacteria; Pseudomonadati; Bacteroidota; Chitinophagia; Chitinophagales
Description: contains 16S-23S intergenic spacer region
Rfam family: Bacterial small subunit ribosomal RNA
Source: RNAcentral